CAUGCNAGUCGAACGCGAAAGCGGGGCAACCCGCAAGUUAGAGUGGCGAACGGGUGAGUAAUACAUCGGAACGUACCCAGUAGCGGGGGAUAACCUCUCGAAAGAGAGGCUAAUACCGCAUACGACCUACGGGUGAAAGAGGGGGAUCGCAAGACCUCUCACUAUUGGAGCGGCCGAUGUCGGAUUAGCUAGUUGGUGGGGUAACGGCCUACCAAGGCGACGAUCCGUAGCUGGUCUGAGAGGACGGCCAGCCACACUGGAACUGAGACACGGUCCAGACUCCUACGGGAGGCAGCAGUGGGGAAUUUUGGACAAUGGGCGAAAGCCUGAUCCAGCCAUGCCGCGUGAGUGAAGAAGGCCUUCGGGUUGUAAAGCUCUUUCGGCGGGGACGAAAUGGUGCGUGUUAACACCGCGCACCGAUGACGGUACCCGCAUAAGAAGCACCGGCUAACUACGUGCCAGCAGCCGCGGUAAUACGUAGGGUGCAGGCGUUAAUCGGAAUUACUGGGCGUAAAGCGUGCGCAGGCGGUCUUUUAAGUCAGAUGUGAAAUCCCCGGGCUUAACCUGGGAACUGCGUUUGAAACUGGAAGGCUUGAGUGUGGCAGAGGGGGGUGGAAUUCCACGUGUAGCAGUGAAAUGCGUAGAGAUGUGGAGGAACACCGAUGGCGAAGGCAGCCCCCUGGGCUAACACUGACGCUCAUGCACGAAAGCGUGGGGAGCAAACAGGAUUAGAUACCCUGGUAGUCCACGCCCUAAACUAUGUCAACUGGUUGUCGGGGAAGCAAUUCCUUGGUA
Molecule: ribosomal RNA, 795 nt
Filed under: uncultured bacterium
Lineage: Bacteria
Description: bacterial SSU rRNA
Rfam family: Bacterial small subunit ribosomal RNA
Source: RNAcentral